GCGAUAUAAGAAAGAAGACAAGGUUAGCACUCCCUUGGAUAAGGAGGAAAGAGGUCUUAGUGGCCUGUACAGCAUGCAUAUGGCUAAGGCAUUGCCACGUACUUUGUGGCAUCUAACCAAGUUUUUAC
This is a small nuclear RNA of Sphaerodactylus townsendi, 128 nucleotides long. The record is from RefSeq and is a predicted model, not a curated record. NCBI's taxonomy places the organism in Eukaryota, Metazoa, Chordata, Lepidosauria, Squamata, Sphaerodactylidae.